RNAcentral lists this unclassified non-coding RNA (175 nucleotides) under uncultured Pezizales. RNAcentral's name for it is "sequence contains ITS2". The record is from RNAcentral. Lineage: Eukaryota; Fungi; Ascomycota; Pezizomycetes; Pezizales.
GAACAAUGUUCAGGCCUCACAGCUUGGUUAUGGUGGAUGAGUGGUACCGGGAUGGGCUCUCACUGCUGAAAUUGAAUGGCGGGUUACCGUGAGCUGCCUUGAGCGUCGUAUGUACCACACACUCGCCUUGGUGGCCGGAAAAGUCCUGCCCAUCAAACCUCACAGUAGUAUACUA